Long non-coding RNA from Brassica napus (rape), 3167 nucleotides. RefSeq lists it as uncharacterized. The transcript is spliced from 3 exons. Lineage: Eukaryota; Viridiplantae; Streptophyta; Magnoliopsida; Brassicales; Brassicaceae. The record is from RefSeq and is a predicted model, not a curated record.
UGGUAGCACGAAUUCACGAACUGCUACAAAAAAUACCAAAAUCGGAUCACAACUCAAUCGUAGCCUUAAAUUCGUGCCAUGAAAAUUUUUAUUAAGUUAAAACAAAAAAAAUCAGUUUUGUAGCUGAAAUGUUAUUUUGGAGGGAAAAACACUUAACGAAAUUUCACAUUCCCACCAAAAAUUUAUGUUUUCGUAGAAAUUGUUAUUUUUUUGCCCAAGUCAUUUUCAUUUUACAAAGAAAAAAAACACAAAUUCAUUUUCUCUAUCAUCAUCUUCAUUGUUUAUUUGAAUCAAUCUAUCCAUUCCGAUUGAAGAAACACAUAUGGAUUGGUCUUGUUCAAAGUCGAACUCAGGAACCCUAAUCUGUCAAGCCGCUGGACUCUUCUUCUUCGUCAUACCCAAACUCCUCCAUACACGGCGAAUUGGCUCCUUCACCUUCCUCCGCUGCUUUUCACCACCAUCACAUUUGCCGCUUCUUCUUCAUAUUCCCUUUGUUUUAUCAAUCUCAAUUGCACAGAAGUCAAAACUCUAGAGGUCAUCGACCUAUAUCCUUGGACAAGGUAUGGCUCAGCGUGAAGACGUUUAUGACCUAGAUAGCCACUAGAUUCCAGGUUUUCUUCUACUCCAAAGCUCUAGUUUCAAUUGGGUCUAUAAAAAUCUCCCUAUUUUGUUGUUUAGUCACACUUGUUCAGUUUUCACGAGUUUCUUUUGUUUGAUUUCGCUGACAAAACCCCCUUGCUUUUGUUCAAUCGAUUUCGGCAUUACUGUUUAUGUUCAUUUCUAUUAAAAAUCUCUCCUUUCUGUUGUUUCCUCUUGACAAAACUCCACCUUGAUUUUGUUCACUUACUUUUGUAUUUGUUUACGGUAUGACCAGAACUGGAUUGUUUAUGUUGGAUUAGCAGAAAAAGGUUUGUCUUUUUGGUGUGUGAUUCUGAUUGUUUCUCUUUUAUUGAUUUAUGCAACUAGGAACUGAGUUCUUAUAUGAAUUUUCUGUGAAAAGUUUUACUAUUUUAAUGAUGCCUCAAGGAGUUGUACCAGUUCAGGGAUGGACCCCUACACCGUAAGUUGUGUCAUAAGGGUCGGCUCGGCUCAGUUUCUCCUUCAGGUACCGGAACUGAUCACAACAACUACAGAAACUUGCAGCAAAACGAGUCAGGCUAAUCUGUCCUCUUGGCGGGAUCUAUGCAUUGUUCUUCCUUGAAGGUUUGAAAGUCAUCACACGAGAAGAUGAGAACGGAAACGUCAAACUUGAGUGUCCCGCCAUUAGUAAACAACAGUUUGCAGCUGGUAGAUUUCACAUUGACUCACGGAUGAAAGCUACUAAAGAUGCUGAUCGCAUUACUAGGCUUGAUGUUAUUCGUAUUAUCUAUCAAUGAGCCUACUGCUACUUCUGUGGUUUAUGCUUUUGAAAGGAAAAGCAAUUAAAUAAUUCUUGUCUUUGAUCUUGGUGGUGGUACCUUUGAUGUCUCUGGUACUCAAUUGCAAUGUAUCUCAAAUGGUGACAAAAAGAAAAAGAAAAAAUAUCUAAUUUGGGGUAUAUGAUUAAAUUGCAAUGUAUAAAUGAUAAUUAAACUUUUAGAUUAAAUUUAAUAUUUGAAAUUAAAUAACGAACAAUAGAGUUUAAGAUUUUUAGUUAGCUUUGGGUAUGAUUAAUUUGGGGUUUAAACCCUUACCCUAAACAUAAACAUUAAAAUUUCAAUAUUUUCAUAAUAUAAUUUCAAUCUUAAAUUUAAAUUUAAAAUUUAAUAAUUUUAAAAAUAGAAUCCCAAAUUUAAAUUCUAAACCUCAAACAUUAAAUCUUAAAUCUAUACCCUAAAUAUAAUACCCUAAAUCCCAAACUUAAAUCUUACAUACAAAGUCGUAAAUCUAUUUUUUAAUUUAUAAUAUAAACUUUAAACUUAUAUUCCAAAUAUAUUCUAAAACUCAAAUCAUACACUAAAUUAUAAAUCUUAACCCUAAACCCUAAACCACAUACUUCAUAUUAACCUACAUCAUAAAUCCUAAUUUAAAAUUUUCAAAAAUUUAAAUUGUACUCUAAUUUCUAACAUAUACACUAUAACUGUGAACUCUAAAUACAAAAUCUAAAUUUUAAAUUUAAUCAAACACAUACACUAUAAAUGCCAAACACCAAACCCUACAUCAAACCCUAUUCUUCAAAUUUAUACUCAAACUCUUAAUCAUUUUAUAAUAAUUCUUAAUUCUUUUUAAAGAAAAUCAUAAUUAUAUAUCAUAAUUGAUAUUUCUGCAAUUACUACUUGUAAUUACUGAAAUUAAACAUCACUUAAUCUUCAAACAUUAGUCUUUGUAAACAUAUAAAAUGAUAUGUCAAACUUAAUAAGAUUAAAUAAAAUAAAAUAAAAAAGAAAGAAUUGUGUGGUAUAAUCUCUAUCUCACCUCCUUUUACGUUAUUCUUCUUUUUUUAAUAGCAAUCCUAGUGAUUCUUUUCUAUUGGCUAAUACAAGAAAGUGGGGAUAACUUCCUUUUUAACCUUAACCGUUGAUGAAUUUAAUCUAAGGGACAUAAAUAUUUGCUUCUUUUUUUAAUGAUUUUCUCUCCUUCUCGAUCUCUGCUUUUUUUUUUUGAUCAACAAUCUCUGCUCCUCUCCUCUUCUACCGUCAUAAACCUGAAAAAAAAAUGAAAGCUCCAUCUUUUCUUCUUCUCUGGAAUAAACCCUAAGAAAACCCAGAAAAAUUCUCCAUCUUUUACGAAGGACUCCACUUCUCACCUCAUUGGCAGCUCAAACGAAAUCUCUCCUUUAUUUCCGAAUUUGUAAUGCGGAGGACAUGAGAUUUUAUGGAGGAGACAGAAGAUUUGGCAGAGGAAAAGGAGGCGCGACAAGCAGAUCGAACGGUGGCUCCAACACCAUAUUGAAUCCUUUCUUCAGCCAUAGCAUCCAGAGCCGGUUGAGGCGUCGGUGUAGAAGAAGUGGUAUGUGACUGAAUGAUGGUGACGUUGAAGCGCUGUGGCGACGGAGACUAAGGCGCAGCUGAUAUGUGGGGCUUAGGUUUAGGUUUUGUUAGUUAGGUUUUGGUUAAUUAGGUUUGGUUUAAUGUGUUUUAAUUAGUUUUGGUUUAAUGUGUUCUGGUGUAUUUAAUUUUUUAAUUCUGGUUUAGUGUUACAUUUUUUUGUAAUUUAAUUUUAAUUAAUAAAUAAAAUUUUAUUUUUAA